UUUAUGUUUUUAAAAUCUCCGAUUCAAACUCGCAAACCCUAAUUCCGCAAUAGAUCAAUAAACCUGAUCAUCCAAAAAAAUAAAAAAAUCCAUUUGAGUUUCCAGUAACUUGCAGAAAAAAAAAAAGAACCCUAAAUCAAGAAAGAGAGAUAAGUAUGUAUUACCUUGAAUUGAUCUUUGCGAUUUGUUGAAGUGGGGAUUUUGGCUGACAGAGAGAAGAAUGGAUCGGAGAUGUCUCGAUCCAAAGGGAGAGAUGUGGAUGGAGAGGUUAUUUGGUUAAUUAACUAGUCCGUAACGGUUAUGCUAAUGUAUUUUUCAUUCCGUAUUAUUAGCUUAACUUGCCUAUAAUUAACCUUUACAUUAAUUCUAAUUUUAGGAACACUGAACACAAUUAAAACCGG
Molecule: long non-coding RNA, 401 nt
Filed under: Capsella rubella
Lineage: Eukaryota; Viridiplantae; Streptophyta; Magnoliopsida; Brassicales; Brassicaceae
Description: long non-coding RNA (CRUB_LNC001486)
Source: RNAcentral